Molecule: ribosomal RNA, 253 nt
Filed under: uncultured bacterium
Lineage: Bacteria
Description: partial 16S ribosomal RNA
Rfam family: Bacterial small subunit ribosomal RNA
Source: RNAcentral
UACGUAGGGUGCAAGCGUUAAUCGGAAUUACUGGGCGUAAAGCGUACGCAGGCGGCUUUGCAAGACAGGUGUGAAAUCCCCGGGCCUAACCUGGGAACUGCAUUUGUGACUGCAUGGCUAGAGUUUGUCAGAGGGGGGUGGAAUUCCACGUGUAGCAGUGAAAUGCGUAGAUAUUCGGAAGAACACCAGUGGCGAAGGCGACUUACUGGACACAUAUUGACGCUGAGGUGCGAAAGCGUGGGGAGCAAACAGG